GACGAACGCUGGCGGCGUGCUUAACACAUGCAAGUCGAACGGAAAGGCCCUGCUUUUGUGGGGUGCUCGAGUGGCGAACGGGUGAGUAACACGUGAGUAACCUGCCCUUGACUUUGGGAUAACUUCAGGAAACUGGGGCUAAUACCGGAUAGGAGCUCCUGCUGCAUGGUGGGGGUUGGAAAGUUUCGGCGGUUGGGGAUGGACCCGCGGCUUAUCAGCUUGUUGGUGGGGUAGUGGCUUACCAAGGCUUUGACGGGUAGCCGGCCUGAGAGGGUGACCGGCCACAUUGGGACUGAGAUACGGCCCAGACUCCUACGGGAGGCAGCAGUGGGGAAUAUCGCACAAUGGGCGGAAGCCUGAUGCAGCAACGCCGCGUGCGGGAUGACGGCCUUCGGGUUGUAAACCGCUUUCGCCUGUGACGAAGCGUGAGUGACGGUAAUGGGUAAAGAAGCACCGGCUAACUACGUG
This 468-nucleotide ribosomal RNA is filed under the name uncultured bacterium. Its description in RNAcentral is "partial 16S ribosomal RNA". It matches the Rfam family "Bacterial small subunit ribosomal RNA", at positions 28 to 507 of the family's 1533-position model. The record is from RNAcentral.